Molecule: ribosomal RNA, 249 nt
Filed under: uncultured Actinomycetales bacterium
Lineage: Bacteria; Bacillati; Actinomycetota; Actinomycetes; Actinomycetales
Description: partial 16S ribosomal RNA
Rfam family: Bacterial small subunit ribosomal RNA
Source: RNAcentral
CGGAGGUACUCGAGUUGCGAACGGGUGAGUAACACGUGGGUGAUCUGCCCUGCACUCUGGGAUAAGCCUGGGAAACUGGGUCUAAUACCGGAUAGGACCGCACUUUAGUGUGUGUGGUGGAAAGUUUUUUCGGUGUAGGAUGAGCCCGCGGCCUAUCAGCUUGUUGGUGGGGUAAUGGCCUACCAAGGCGGCGACGGGUAGCCGGACUGAGAGGUUGGUCGGCCACAUUGGGACUGAGAUACGGCCCAG